UACAGAGGGUGCGAGCGUUAAUCGGAAUUACUGGGCGUAAAGCGUGCGUAGACGGCUAUCUAAGUCGGGUGUGAAAGCCCCGGGCUCAACCUGGGAAUUGCAUUCGAGACUGAAUAGCUAGGGUACGGUAGAGGGAAGCGGAAUUUCCGGUGUAGCGGUGAAAUGCGUAGAUAUCGGAAGGAACAUCAGUAGCGAAAGCGGCUUCCUGGACCAGUACCGACGUUCAGGCACGAAAGCGUGGGGAGCAAACAGG
This 253-nucleotide ribosomal RNA is filed under the name uncultured bacterium. RNAcentral's name for it is "partial 16S ribosomal RNA". It matches the Rfam family "Bacterial small subunit ribosomal RNA", at positions 524 to 776 of the family's 1533-position model. The record is from RNAcentral.